AGAGUUUGAUCAUGGCUCAGAUUGAACGCUGGCGGCAUGCCUUACACAUGCAAGUCGAACGCGAAAGUGGGGGCAACCCUGCGAGUAGAGUGGCGAACGGGUGAGUAAUACAUCGGAACGUACCCAGGAGUGGGGGACAACCUCGAGAAAUCGAGGCUAAUACCGCAUACGUCCUGAGGGAGAAAGCGGGGGAUCCGUAAGGACCUCGCGCUCAUGGAGCGGCCGAUGUCGGAUUAGCUAGUUGGCGGGGUAAAGGCCCACCAAGGCUACGAUCCGUAGCUGGUUUGAGAGAACGACCAGCCACACUGGGACUGAGACACGGCCCAGACUCCUACGGGAGGCAGCAGUGGGGAAUUUUGGACAAUGGGGGCAACCCUGAUCCAGCCAUGCCGCGUGAGUGAAGAAGGCCUUCGGGUUGUAAAGCUCUUUCGGCCGGAACGAAAUCGCGUACGUGAAUAACGUGCGUGGAUGACGGUACUGGAAGAAGAAGCACCGGCUAACUACGUGCCAGCCGCCGCGGUAAUUCA
Molecule: ribosomal RNA, 527 nt
Filed under: uncultured Azoarcus sp.
Lineage: Bacteria; Pseudomonadati; Pseudomonadota; Betaproteobacteria; Rhodocyclales; Zoogloeaceae
Description: bacterial SSU rRNA
Rfam family: Bacterial small subunit ribosomal RNA
Source: RNAcentral